ACGCUUCUCAGGAAGAAGUUGAAAUGUUUCAUUGCUUACUUCUCAAAACAUCACUAUAGAUGUAAAUGCUACUGGGUGAUAGUCAUUGAGGGUGAAGAUCCCCAUCUGGAUUCAAAAUCAUUUCAUUUGGAGAACUGGACUGAGAUCUCUGGGUCACUAUGGGCUAAUCUACAGUGGUGUGGAAAUAAUGAACAGCGAAGGGGGCCCUGACGCAGACUUUAGUGUUCACUUAGUACUGCUCUCCAGUGUUCGCUCAGUGCUGCCCUCCGGUGAUCACUCUUUAGAAGAACAAGAUGGACCAAGACAACUGACCAUUAAUCUACAGGCCAUGCCAUUCAGGAAAGGAAGAUGGGGUGAUGUCACAUGACAUGUGUCAGAACGUGAUUGGACAGAGUUCGGAGCAUGCACAAAAAUGACAAAGUGAUCGAGA
This is a long non-coding RNA of Hypanus sabinus (Atlantic stingray), 430 nucleotides long. RefSeq lists it as uncharacterized. The record is from RefSeq and is a predicted model, not a curated record. The transcript has 4 exons. NCBI's taxonomy places the organism in Eukaryota, Metazoa, Chordata, Chondrichthyes, Myliobatiformes, Dasyatidae.